Pristis pectinata (smalltooth sawfish) is the source of this 573-nucleotide long non-coding RNA. RefSeq lists it as uncharacterized. NCBI's taxonomy places the organism in Eukaryota, Metazoa, Chordata, Chondrichthyes, Rhinopristiformes, Pristidae. The record is from RefSeq and is a predicted model, not a curated record. The transcript is spliced from 3 exons.
GCGGAGUGGUCUCAGCACAGAGCGCUGGGGCCCCUAGGCUCGGCGGGGUGGGUGGGGGGGGGUGCACUUUAUUUAGUGCAGGACAUGCUCCAUCCAGGACACCGGGACUUGGCGAGCCUGGAGCAGGCACAAAAGCCUCCCAGAAAUAGUAGAGAACUGCAGGGCAGGCUGAGAGCGAGAAGGGAACCACAUCCUUUGUACAGGCACAUUGUAACCUGCUCAACUCUGUCAAGUUCUACAACUUCAGAUGCUGCCUGACCCACUGAGUUCCUCCAGAUCCUGUUGAUUUGCUGCAAUUCAAAGGCGUUCUUUUGAACAACUAGUACCGGAACAAUGAGCUGUAUGAUUAUUUGAAUUACUAACGGUGCCAAAGUCUCUCCCACAUUUUAUGGGACACAGGAACUUGGAGUACAUUGAUUAUUGAGGGUGUGCAGGAAAGAAAUGUAUCCAGCUUCCUGUCUUAGGGAUACAGGAAAUGUUUGCCUGCUGAGAGAAGGUCUGAACAGCAUCCCUUUAGUAAACACCACCUUUAGCUUUCAUUAUUUUUCUGAAGGCUUGGAUAAAAUAAAACCU